This 1553-nucleotide ribosomal RNA is filed under the name Escherichia coli. RNAcentral's name for it is "bacterial SSU rRNA". It matches the Rfam family "Bacterial small subunit ribosomal RNA". Lineage: Bacteria; Pseudomonadati; Pseudomonadota; Gammaproteobacteria; Enterobacterales; Enterobacteriaceae. The record is from RNAcentral.
AAAUUGAAGAGUUUGAUCAUGGCUCAGAUUGAACGCUGGCGGCAGGCCUAACACAUGCAAGUCGAACGGUAACAGGAAGCAGCUUGCUGCUUUGCUGACGAGUGGCGGACGGGUGAGUAAUGUCUGGGAAACUGCCUGAUGGAGGGGGAUAACUACUGGAAACGGUAGCUAAUACCGCAUAACGUCGCAAGACCAAAGAGGGGGACCUUCGGGCCUCUUGCCAUCGGAUGUGCCCAGAUGGGAUUAGCUAGUAGGUGGGGUAAAGGCUCACCUAGGCGACGAUCCCUAGCUGGUCUGAGAGGAUGACCAGCCACACUGGAACUGAGACACGGUCCAGACUCCUACGGGAGGCAGCAGUGGGGAAUAUUGCACAAUGGGCGCAAGCCUGAUGCAGCCAUGCCGCGUGUAUGAAGAAGGCCUUCGGGUUGUAAAGUACUUUCAGCGGGGAGGAAGGGAGUAAAGUUAAUACCUUUGCUCAUUGACGUUACCCGCAGAAGAAGCACCGGCUAACUCCGUGCCAGCAGCCGCGGUAAUACGGAGGGUGCAAGCGUUAAUCGGAAUUACUGGGCGUAAAGCGCACGCAGGCGGUUUGUUAAGUCAGAUGUGAAAUCCCCGGGCUCAACCUGGGAACUGCAUCUGAUACUGGCAAGCUUGAGUCUCGUAGAGGGGGGGUAGAAUUCGGGUGUAGCGGUGAAAUGCGUAGAGAUCUGGAGGAAUACCGGUGGCGAAGGCGGCCCCCUGGACGAAGACUGACGCUCAGGUGCGAAAGCGUGGGGAGCAAACAGGAUUAGAUACCCUGGUAGUCCACGCCGUAAACGAUGUCGACUUGGAGGUUGUGCCCUUGAGGCGUGGCUUCCGGAGCUAACGCGUUAAGUCGACCGCCUGGGGAGUACGGCCGCAAGGUUAAAACUCAAAUGAAUUGACGGGGGCCCGCACAAGCGGUGGAGCAUGUGGUUUAAUUCGAUGCAACGCGAAGAACCUUACCUGGUCUUGACAUCCACGGAAGUUUUCAGAGAUGAGAAUGUGCCUUCGGGAACCGUGAGACAGGUGCUGCAUGGCUGUCGUCAGCUCGUGUUGUGAAAUGUUGGGUUAAGUCCCGCAACGAGCGCAACCCUUAUCCUUUGUUGCCAGCGGUCCGGCCGGGAACUCAAAGGAGACUGCCAGUGAUAAACUGGAGGAAGGUGGGGAUGACGUCAAGUCAUCAUGGCCCUUACGACCAGGGCUACACACGUGCUACAAUGGCGCAUACAAAGAGAAGCGACCUCGCGAGAGCAAGCGGACCUCAUAAAGUGCGUCGUAGUCCGGAUUGAGUCUGCAACUCGACUCCAUGAAGUCGGAAUCGCUAGUAAUCGUGGAUCAGAAUGCCACGGUGAAUACGUUCCCGGGCCUUGUACACACCGCCCGUCACACCAUGGGAGUGGGUUGCAAAAGAAGUAGGUAGCUUAACCUUCGGGAGGGCGCUUACCACUUUGUGAUUCAUGACUGGGGUGAAGUCGUAACAAGGUAACCGUAGGGGAACCUGCGGUUGGAUCACCUCCUUACCUUAAAGAAGC